UGGCGGACUGGUGAGUAACGCGUGAGGAACCUGCCUUUCAGAGGGGGACAACAGUUGGAAACGACUGCUAAUACCGCAUGACGCAUUUUGAUCGCAUGGUCGAAAUGCCAAAGAUUUAUCGCUGAAAGAUGGCCUCGCGUCUGAUUAGCUAGUUGGUGAGGUAACGGCCCACCAAGGCGACGAUCGGUAGCCGGACUGAGAGGUUGACCGGCCACAUUGGGACUGAGAUACGGCCCAGACUCCUACGGGAGGCAGCAGUGGGGAAUAUUGGGCAAUGGGCGCAAGCCUGACCCAGCAACGCCGCGUGAAGGAAGAAGGCUUUCGGGUUGUAAACUUCUUUUAAGUGGGAAGAGCAGAAGACGGUACCACUUGAAUAAGCCACGGCUAACUACGUGCCAGCAGCCGCGGUAAUACGUAGGUGGCAAGCGUUGUCCGGAUUUACUGGGUGUAAAGGGCGUGCAGCCGGGCAUGCAAGUCAGAUGUGAAAUCUCAGGGCUUAACCCUGAAACUGCAUUUGAAACUGUAUGUCUUGAGUGCCGGAGAGGUUAUCGGAA
RNAcentral lists this ribosomal RNA (554 nucleotides) under uncultured bacterium. Its description in RNAcentral is "bacterial SSU rRNA". It matches the Rfam family "Bacterial small subunit ribosomal RNA", at positions 96 to 666 of the family's 1533-position model. The record is from RNAcentral.